CAAGAUAACAGACUCACAGCCUUCACCUCAAACUAAUGGAGUUCAGUCGACACUGAAGGCAAUUCCUCAUCUGAUACACCAUUACUACAACGAAGCCAAGUGCCUUCCUACUUAUAAGUAAAACGCAUUUCAUAAUUUUCUCCAAAAUUUAAAAUGUGUGAUGCAGUCCAAAGAUUUAUUAAUAAUAAAAUUAUAUUUUAUGUUGUGUAAAACAAAAUAUCGGCUAACACUUUAUUUCUCCUUUCACAGCAGUCAGUAUCCGUGAAGUCCAAGAAAUAAUGAUUCCCAAACAAAAUGGAUCUUCGGCAUCAUGCACACAAAAGAGACGGACGCCAGCUUAAGGACCAGGAGGCAUUAAAAAAUUAAAGGACUUCAGAUAUUCUGUUAUUGUUGUUGUUAAAGUGACUUUAGUGUUUAUCUGGUUUGAUCUGGUAAAUUAGCAUUAGCAUCAGUCAUUUAACCUUCUGCAUGUUACAUUUCUUUUUGUAUGACUUUCAGGUCAUAUUGCACUGCAUGCUGUUCUUCAUACUAAUGUGUUAAUUUAUGUUUACAAAGUUUUAUAUCAGAAUAAAGUGACAUAUAUAAUCAAUGAAUCUGUUAAGCUAAACACAAAAAGGCAGUUACAUUAUUUUGUCCAUCAUGUAAAUAUUUUACUUGUUUUACUUUGUGAGUUUUUUCUCUAUUUGUUUUAUUUAAUGAUCUAAUUGUGAUCCUCAAAUAAUUUCUUUUGCUGUUUGUUCUUCAGUAUAUUUGUUACUUGUGUUUUGAAAAGUAUUUUUAUCUUAUGCUGACUUUUACAUUUUGUCUUUAGUUGUGAUUAAUAAAACUGG
Molecule: long non-coding RNA, 830 nt
Organism: Poeciliopsis prolifica (blackstripe livebearer)
Lineage: Eukaryota; Metazoa; Chordata; Actinopteri; Cyprinodontiformes; Poeciliidae
Exons: 3
Source: RefSeq, a predicted model, not a curated record